Xiphophorus hellerii (green swordtail) is the source of this 1992-nucleotide long non-coding RNA. RefSeq lists it as uncharacterized. NCBI's taxonomy places the organism in Eukaryota, Metazoa, Chordata, Actinopteri, Cyprinodontiformes, Poeciliidae. The transcript is spliced from 3 exons. The record is from RefSeq and is a predicted model, not a curated record.
CGUUUAAUGCAGGGUUACACUAUAAAAAGAGCUUUAGAAACUUUUUAACAUCCCAGAGCGCUGGUUAUUCCAUCGUCUGAAAAUGGAAAGCGUAUGGCACUACAGCAGAUCGGACAAGAUGUGGCUAUUUAUUUAAACAGGUCAAGCAAGGAGAGUAUCAGAGAAGCAGACGCCUGUGGUAACUCUAAAGGCGCUUCAGAGAUCCACAACUCGAGUGGGAAAAAAUGCUGAAAUAACUGUUAUACAAAUCAGGCUUUUGUGAAAGAGUGGCAAGAAGAAAUAAUUAUUGAAGGACUGGAAAAAGAAAUCCCAUUUACAUAAUUUAUCUAACCCUAAACAUUAUUCUGAAAGUGGUUUCAUAAUGAGACUGUAAUCUUGAGUUAAGAGCGCCUGAACAAAAAUGCAUGGCAGACUUAAAUUAAAAGUAUUUGUAAACAAAAUAUUAUGUCUUUUAUAUUAACAAUUUAAUAUUUUGUUUUGGUCUGUCAUAAAAUCCCAAAGUUUGGAAAAAGGUGAAGGGGAAUGAAUACUUUUGCAAAGUACCGUAUCUGCAUAGGCAAAAAAACUGCGACACCCAUUCCACGUACAUAUUUUUUCCAAAGUAUGUGCAUGUUUCCUCUUUGCUCUUUGUCUCUGUGUGGCACACUGUCGGUUCUGAUGCUUUAAAAUCAUUAAAGGAUCAAAGGACCUGAGUCAUGUGAGCUUUUGAGUUCAGUGGCAAACACUGCGGUUAGAAAACAAGUCCCAACAGCGUUUGAGGUUUUGGCUGAUUUAAAAUCCACUGACCUAAAAAAGACAAACUGCCACGCCUUAAUCUCAAUUUACAGUUGGUUGUAUCCAAAGCAAACAAGGCAAGUGGAUUUUAGGAUGGGCACACUAAUUGAAGGCUUGUGUGUGUGUGCGUAUGAUUUAGUGUAAACAGCAACACUGAGCCUGUGGAUAUGUUUUGGAUAGGACCCUGAGGAGAUGUGCCAUCGUAAGAGCAGGUGCAAUGAGAAGAACGGAGAACUUCUGAAAUGAGAAAGUGAUGUGAGGAGUUUGAACCUCCCCCGGGCCUUCAAACGUGAGUGACGUCAAAGGACAUUCUUCCCAGCAACUUCCUGGCUUUCAUGGCCCGGCCUUCAUCACCAUCCGCAGCAUUCGCUUCCUGUGAGUGAGAGUGAUCCCGUUUCCCGAGUUCCAAGAAUUCUGCACCAAUGACUGCAUGACAAUAUGUAACGCAAGUUCCUGAGGAGCUGGUGUCUGUCUGCAGCAGUCAUUAGGCAGGUAGGGCAGGUUUACCACGAAUCGUCAGAGAGAUACCCAGGACAGGUAACCAUGUUCACACUCACUCAUACCUACAGGACAUUUAGAGAGACCAAUUAAUCUAACUGUAAUCUAAUUAAUCUAACUUAUUUAUAAUAGUUAGGUCCUCCACCAGGUGGCCCAGGGAAAAUAUUUGAUUCCGUAAAUAGGCUUUUGAGAAAAGCACCAACUGUGUUAGAGGUAGAAGUGUCAUAAAUAUACACAUUAAAUAUGAUGCAUUUGUCAUUGUGAUAUAGUAAACUCCCCAUUUUUUUGUAUCAGAUUUUUAUCCUGUCAGUGACCUUCCCUUCUUUGCAGUUUGAGUGCCUGCUCCUACAACCUAAAAUGGUUCCAUUUGAAUCCAUUAUUAACCUUCACACCUUGGUACUAAUUGAUAUUUGAUUGAUGUUGCGAUCACAUCUCUGCCUUGGAACAGUGUCCAGGCACUGAACCUAAACCUUGAAGAGGCAAAAGGAAACCCUCUGAUCCUCAGCUCUCACGUACGCAGGACAUACCACAGCUGUGUGGCGCAGCCAAGACAGGAGCAGUGAUUCAGAGGAACAGAUAUGCCAGGAGGAACACAACAAAGAUGAAAGAGAAAAGGGAGAAGGAAACGUAAACAGGGGGAAUGCAGUGAAGAAGCGCCACAGAGCCAAGCAGGAAAACUUCUCUCCUAUUCACCCGACUUGCUCCAUCUGUUUGGGACGC